Non-coding RNA from Ilex paraguariensis (yerba mate), 111 nucleotides. Lineage: Eukaryota; Viridiplantae; Streptophyta; Magnoliopsida; Aquifoliales; Aquifoliaceae. The record is from the annotation of a GenBank genome assembly.
ACUUUUAAAAGAAAAGAGAUACUAUCCCAUCAGAACUCCGCAGUUAAGCGUGCUUGGGCGAGAGUAGUACUAGAAUGGGUGACCCCCUAGAAAGUCCUCGUGUUGCACCCC